RNAcentral lists this transfer RNA (71 nucleotides) under Loxodonta africana (African savanna elephant). It matches the Rfam family "tRNA". From Rfam's summary of the family: Transfer RNA (tRNA) molecules are approximately 80 nucleotides in length. Their secondary structure includes four short double-helical elements and three loops (D, anti-codon, and T loops). Lineage: Eukaryota; Metazoa; Chordata; Mammalia; Proboscidea; Elephantidae. The record is from Rfam by way of RNAcentral.
CCCUGGUUGGUAUAAAGAAUUAACACACUCAGCUGAUGACUGAAAGUUUGGAGGUUCGAAUCCACCAGGGG